AAAUUCUGUAGUGCUGUACAAUGGGUGGACUAACAGACACAUAAUUGAGAUCAGACCACUGGACGUACAGGAACAGAGGGGGUUGAGGGCCCUGCUCGAUGAACUUACAUGCUAGAGGGAGUGGGGUAUAGUGACAGUAACAGAGGGAUUGAGGGCCCUGCUCAGUGAGGUUACAUGUUAGAGGGAGUGGGGUAUAGUGACACAGUAACAGAGGGAUUGGGGCCCUGCUCGGUGAGGUUACAUGUUAGAGGGAGUGGGGUAUAGUGACACAGUAACAGAGGGAUUGAGGGCCCUGCUCAGUGAGUUUACAUGUUAGAGGGAGUGGGGUAAUGUGACAGUAACAGAUGGAUUGAGGGCCCUGCUCAAUGAGUUUACAUGUUAGAGGGAGUGGGGUAUAGUGACACAGUAACAGAGGGAUUGAGGGCCUGCUCAGUGAGGUUACAUGUUAGAGGGAGUGGGGUAUAGUGACACAGUAACAGAGGGAUUGAGGGCCCUGCUCAGUGAUUUACAUGUUAGAGGGAGUGGGGUAAGUGACAGUAACAGAUGGAUUGAGGGCCCUGCUCAAUGAGUUUACAUGUUAGAGGGAGUGGGGUAUAGUGACACAGUAACAGAGGGAUUGAGGGCCCUGCUCAGUG
Non-coding RNA from Pelobates cultripes (western spadefoot toad), 635 nucleotides. NCBI's taxonomy places the organism in Eukaryota, Metazoa, Chordata, Amphibia, Anura, Pelobatidae. The record is from the annotation of a GenBank genome assembly.